AGCACUACAAAUACCUGGUCCUCCUGCCACUUCAGUGCCGGAUUGUUCCUUUGCCACGGCGAUACUCCUGCUACCUGUUUUUCACCAGGCGUCUUGGAGCUGGCUUCCUGGAUAUUUUUGUUUUACUUCAGUUGUCUCCACAAUAAAUUGAUUGUACUCUUCAA
This is a long non-coding RNA of Notolabrus celidotus (New Zealand spotty), 164 nucleotides long. RefSeq lists it as uncharacterized. The record is from RefSeq and is a predicted model, not a curated record. NCBI's taxonomy places the organism in Eukaryota, Metazoa, Chordata, Actinopteri, Labriformes, Labridae. The transcript has 2 exons.